AGUACAUAAACCUGCAUGGAGCUACUGCAUAAUUUUCACGAGCACAUGACAGGAUAAUAAUGGAGCUAAGGCAGAUCUCCAGGGCUUUUUAGCUCUUGCUAAAUUCCUGAAGUUAUUCCAAAUGCAUUCACUGCCUCCAAAAGUUGGUAACUUGUUUAUGUUCAGAACAGGAACCUGGUGGUGUGGUGUAAGGGCCCAGUAUUGUUUUUCUUAAGCAAUGAGGGUACUUCAUAACUGCCAUGUCUGGUCAGAUAAGCUUUUACAGACUCCAAAGUUUCAGAUUUUCCAAUUAGUUUAAAGCCAGGUUGUGUUCCCACAGCUGAAAGUGUUGGAGUUACUGCAGACAGUUCACAGCUAAACAUCCUCCAUUCUGAAAGGUAUCCAACCCAGAUGUGAGAGAAAAACCUUGUUUCUGCUGAAGACAGUGGAAAAUUUCCCAUCAAGGCCAAUAAAGGCUUUAUCAGUUCCUGCAGCACACAUGCUUUCUUAACCCAAUCUCCUCUGACUGCAAAUGAAGUUGAUUCCAUCUGGUUUUACAUUGUUGGAAAUGGGAAACCGUGAAUUAUCUUACUCUGUAACAACCCCUGCAUGUAUAUGAAGACUAUUACUCUACAAUGAAUAAAAUCCAGCAAGAAGCUUCCCUGGCAUUAGUUUGGACCAGUGGUAUUAUUCAGCUCCUGCUGUGGAAAAAGGACCAGUCUCGUUGGCGACCAUUUAAUCCUGAUUUAUUUUCUACCCUAAGUAUCUUUCAGGUUGGGCCUGGGUUUGUGCACUCAGAGCUGGAAGGAAAAGCUCACAGCUGAGUUUGCCAAAACCACCGGGACCGAACCUGAGUAUGGAGCAAAGUGACCCCAGCUGGACCCUGCAUCAGGGGGAGCAGCCAGCAACACAAGGGGACAGUGGCUGGAGACAGCACGGAAAUCUGCUCUGCUCUCGCCAGUAAUGCAGAAGCACCUUAGUGCUCUUUGGUGUGCAGAAUACAUAAGCUUGAAUUUCUCACUGCUUUCUACCACCAACAAUGAAAAAUGUUGGAAACUAACAUCUCCUCAAAAGCAUUUUAAAUGCUUUUUCUUUUUCCUGUACCAUCUCUUUAAGUAAGUAUAUGACAGAAAAAGCAGAGGAAGAGUGCAAUACAGAAAUUAGUGUUUAACAUUACGAUUCUGUGAUUCUGUGAUUCUGUGAAAUGACAGUGAAUGUUACACAAUGGAGCAUCUCCUUACAAAAGAGUAUAAUCUGCUGACUUCAUAAUCAACAUGGCUGCAAACAAUCUCCACAUGAGCAUGAAAGAGCAAAUGCAUGGAGUAUCUUUGGAGCAGAGGAGAAGCCAGUGCAUGGGCUGGUGGUGCUGAGCUCUAACGCAGAAGAGAAAUCCUCCAAAGUCAGUAAAGCAAGCAAAAGACAGAAUGCGUCCCCAUCUCACGGCUACAGAGCUGUAUACUUUGCAUCGUGUGCUCUGGAAGACUGUCUGUUAAGUGUUGUAUUACUUCAACUGCGCUGGGAGAUAUAUGCUAUGUUUGCUACAUCCAAGAGCAAGCUAUAAAGUAUAACAAAUAGAGAACAGCCAUUAACAAGGCACUGACACUAGCUUAGUUUAAAUUAGGGAGUAGUCAAGUUAUGGCAGUGAUACAGAACAUAUUCCUAUAAAAGAUGAGGCUAUCUCUCUGACUGCAGCAGGGCUAUCCUUUUACAUGUCUUUGUGAGAAAAGCAUACUAACGCAAAAUAGUGCUUGGCCCUCAUAAAACAGUACUCCAUCUCUGAGUGCUUUAUUUAUGGGAUAUGAAGUUCAA
Molecule: long non-coding RNA, 1788 nt
Filed under: Anser brachyrhynchus (Pink-footed goose)
Lineage: Eukaryota; Metazoa; Chordata; Aves; Anseriformes; Anatidae
Description: lncRNA (ENSABRG00000016730.1)
Source: RNAcentral